UUUAAUGUUUCUGAUUCUGAGAAAGCUGUGGUCAUGUGGGCACAGUGGGUGGAAUACUCAGCAUUUACAGGUUCUGGAGGAUAUUUUGUUUUUCUAAGCUUUUCUCAAGCCGAAAAACACAAGAGCAAAAGCGCGAGGAAUGGAUUAAACUAUGUGUUUGUCAGCUCUAAUGCAAAGCAGCAAAUGUUAACAAGUCAAGCUAACGAGCUUACUAUGCACAGUAACAACCUGCAUGGUGUAUCCAGACGGGGCCUCAAACACACACGGUGGAAUCUCCCCAGCUCGACACGACACUGCAGCACACAGGGAAAAGUUUGUCAGCUCUGGCACUUGGUGGUGAGUUUGGAUGGCGACUCCACUGUAUGCAUGGCUGCCUGUCUGUUCUCCUGUCUGUCUAUGUCACCUCUGGGUCUUUGUAGUGAGAUGGCACGGGUGGCCGAUGUCCCUCUGAGACGCCGACGAACCGGGAUUGAAGUAUUCCUCGGCCGUCAGCGCUGCUGGGUUGGUCACAGCGGGACACGACAUCUGGGUCACCAAGGCCUGCAGAAAGUGAAUCAUGAAUUUUUGAUGUAACUGAAUGUUGCCGUUUUAAAGAUUGCAAAGCUUUUACUGAUAUGUGGAAAAACUGAUCGUGUCUACUACAGUACAGAGGAUCGUUCAUCAACACCGGCGAGUACAUUACAAAGAGUAAAGACUUCUGAUUUUCUAUUCCAUUGCCAUUCCUCUCUACCUACUGGGAUUUCAAGGCUUUCUUCUUACCUUCUGACAUGCUGAAUGAAAGAAAAGUUUGCAAACAAAUGACAAAUCAGGUUUCUUUUUAUUCAGGCAUUUUACAUCUGUAAUGAUGUAAAAUGUUUACAACAGAAACAUCCACUGUAAUGUGGUGGUUCACUGCUCUAAUUAGUAGCUCACUGUCAACUGUUCGAAAUAUGAUAUGUAACAUGUCUGCAUUAAAAAAAUAUAUAAAAAAAAUAAUGUUCAAAC
This is a long non-coding RNA of Scatophagus argus, 984 nucleotides long. RefSeq lists it as uncharacterized. The record is from RefSeq and is a predicted model, not a curated record. The transcript has 3 exons. NCBI's taxonomy places the organism in Eukaryota, Metazoa, Chordata, Actinopteri, Scatophagidae.